AGAGUUUGAUCCUGGCUCAGGACGAACGCUAGCGGCGGGCUUAACACAUGCAAGUCGAGCGAGAAAGCCAUCUUCGGAAGGUGAGUACAGCGGCGAACGGGUGAGUAACGCGUAGGCAAUCUGCCCCGGGGUGGGGGACAACCCGUCGAAAGACGGGCUAAUACCGCAUGAGUUCCUCAGAUCGAUUGGUCAGAGGAAGAAAGAUUUAUCGCCUUGGGAUGAGCCUGCGUUCCAUUAGCUUGUUGGUAGGGUAAUGGCCUACCAAGGCUACGAUGGAUAGCUGGUCUGAGAGGAUGAUCAGCCACACUGGGACUGAGAUACGGCCCAGACUCCUACGGGAGGCAGCAGUGAGGAAUAUUGCGCAAUGGACGAAAGUCUGACGCAGCCACGCCGCGUGUGGGAUGAAGCCCUUGCGGGUGUAAACCACUGUUAGGAGGGACGAGUGCCCUGGUUUUGCCAGGGAGUGACGGUACCUCCAAAGAAGGCUCCGGCUAACUCCGUGCCAGCAGCCGCGGUAAUACGGGGGGAGCAAGCGUUGUCCGGAUUCACUGGGCGUAAAGAGCAUGUAGGCGGGACUGUAAGUCAGGGGUGUAAGCCCGGAGCUUAACUCCGGAAUGGCCUUUGAAACUGCAGUUCUUGAGUUCGGUAGAGGAAAGCGGAAUUCCAGGUGUAGCGGUGGAAUGCGUAGAUAUCUGGAAGAACACCGGUGGCGAAGGCGGCUUUCUGGCCCGAAACUGACGCUGAGAUGCGAAAGCGUGGGGAGCAAACAGGAUUAGAUACCCUGGUAGUCCACGCUGUAAACGAUGGACACUAGAUGUUGGGAGAUUCGACCCUCCCAGUGUCGUAGCUAACGCGUUAAGUGUCCCGCCUGGGGAGUACGAUCGCAAGGUUGAAACUCAAAGGAAUUGACGGGGGCCCGCACAAGCGGUGGAGCAUGUGGUUUAAUUCGAUGCAACGCGAAGAACCUUACCUGGGCUUGAACUGCAAAGGAAACCUCCUGAAAGGGAGGCCUCCUUCGGGAUCUUUGUAGAGGUGCUGCAUGGCUGUCGUCAGCUCGUGUCGUGAGAUGUUGGGUUAAGUCCUGCAACGAGCGCAACCCUUGCCGUUAGUUGCCAUCAGGUUAUGCUGGGCACUCUAACGGGACUGCCAGCGUUAAGCUGGAGGAAGGCGGGGAUGACGUCAAGUCCUCAUGGCCCUUACGUCCAGGGCUACACACGUGCUACAAUGGGUGGUACAAAGGGUCGCAAUACCGCGAGGUGGAGCCAAUCCCAUAAAACCAUCCUCAGUUCGGAUUGCACUCUGCAACUCGAGUGCAUGAAGGCGGAAUCGCUAGUAAUCGUAGAUCAGCACGCUACGGUGAAUACGUUCCCGGGCCUUGUACACACCGCCCGUCACACCAUGGAAGUCGGGAGUACCCGAAGUCGGUUCAUUAAUAGGGCUGCCGAAGGUAAACUCGAUGACUAGGGUGAAGUCGUAACAAGGUA
Molecule: ribosomal RNA, 1484 nt
Filed under: metagenome
Description: bacterial SSU rRNA
Rfam family: Bacterial small subunit ribosomal RNA
Source: RNAcentral